Molecule: long non-coding RNA, 596 nt
Filed under: Nicotiana tabacum (common tobacco)
Lineage: Eukaryota; Viridiplantae; Streptophyta; Magnoliopsida; Solanales; Solanaceae
Description: long non-coding RNA (NTAB_LNC012811)
Source: RNAcentral
UUAAGGACUAUGUAGGUCAAGUGGAUACAUUAAGGACCAAAAUGAUCAAAUUCCAAUAGAUUAGUGACCAUUUUCGUCAUGAAUGGACUUAACUUUCCCAACUCUCUCUCUCCAAAGAAGGCAAGUUUGUCUGAGCUAAAUUUGAUCAAAACCUCACAAUUUAGAGCAAAUUUAAUGGAGGUACUCACGAUUUGAGGUAUUUUGAUCUGAUUAUUGGUUAAUUCUCGAUGCCUUUUCUCUAAUUUCCCCAAUUUUGAGCUCAGGGUUCCUUGGGUCUCGAAUCUAUCACGCACUUGUGAUUUGCCAUGAACAGGGCAAGUUACAGACUAGCUAAAAGAACUAUCCUAGACGAUGAAGAAGGGUGAAUUGCACUACGAACAAUUGCACCUGGAAUAUGUCUUUUAUUUCAUUAGAGUCGAAGCAAGAUUUCACUGUUGUCCAACUAAGUUGUGUAUUUUGAGGUCCAGCUUGUUUCCAUUGUCAAGGUGUGUGAUGUUCUGUCUGUAGACAUACGCAAUGCAGUAAAAUGGAUACACAUUACCUGAGAUGUAAAGGUGCCAAAAAGUUGCUCUAUCACUUAUUGGUCUUGCUUCCUG